CCUACGGGUGGCAGCAGUGGGGAAUAUUGGACAAUGGGCGAAAGCCUGAUCCAGCCAUGCCGCGUGUGUGAAGAAGGCCUUCGGGUUGUAAAGCACUUUCAGUGGGGAAGAAAGCCUUGGGGCUAAUACCCUCGAGGAAGGACAUCACCCACAGAAGAAGCACCGGCUAACUCCGUGCCAGCAGCCGCGGUAAUACGGAGGGUGCGAGCGUUAAUCGGAAUUACUGGGCGUAAAGCGCGCGUAGGCGGUCUGAUAAGCCGGUUGUGAAAGCCCCGGGCUCAACCUGGGAACGGCAUCCGGAACUGUCAGGCUAGAGUGCAGGAGAGGAAGGUAGAAUUCCCGGUGUAGCGGUGAAAUGCGUAGAGAUCGGGAGGAAUACCAGUGGCGAAGGCGGCCUUCUGGACUGACACUGACGCUGAGGUGCGAAAGCGUGGGUAGCAAACAGGAUUAGUACCCGGGUAGUC
This 464-nucleotide ribosomal RNA is filed under the name Vreelandella stevensii. RNAcentral's name for it is "partial 16S ribosomal RNA". It matches the Rfam family "Bacterial small subunit ribosomal RNA", at positions 338 to 795 of the family's 1533-position model. Lineage: Bacteria; Pseudomonadati; Pseudomonadota; Gammaproteobacteria; Oceanospirillales; Halomonadaceae. The record is from RNAcentral.